CUUUAUUUCUGCUCAAUGAUUUUUUAAAUUGCUGUGGUAUUUUGACUAUACAAAGGUAUUGAAAUAAGAUUUUAAUUGAAUGCUAAGAGAAUGGAAUCUCAGAAAAUGGCUUUUUUAAAAUUAAAAAUUGAACUUUUUUUAAUUUGUGCAGAAACAAUUAUUUUAAUUAAGGACAAGAAGACCCUAAGAAUUUAUAAAUUUAAAUAAAUAUAAUAAUAUAUUACUUAAAUUUUAGCUGGGGCGGCUAAGAAAUAUUAAAAACUUUUUAAAUUAAAAUGAUCCAUUAUUGAUGAUUAUAUGAAAAAUACUCUAGGGA
Molecule: ribosomal RNA, 316 nt
Filed under: Rhipicephalus duttoni
Lineage: Eukaryota; Metazoa; Arthropoda; Arachnida; Ixodida; Ixodidae
Description: partial 16S ribosomal RNA
Source: RNAcentral